GCAUAUCCCAAAAGCGGAGGAAAAGAAACUAACAAGGAUUCCCCUAGUAACUGCGAGUGAAGCGGGAAGAGCUCAAAUUUGAAAUCUCCUUCGGGCGAGUUGUAAACUGGAGAAGCGUUAUCAGACGCCGACCGCACUAAAGUCUCCUGGAAUGGAGUGUCAUAGAGGGUGAGAAUCCCGUGCUUGGUGCGAUUGCGGCGUUGUAGAGGCGUUUUCUAUGAGUCGAGUUGUUUGGGAAUGCAGCUCAAAAUGGGUGGUAAACUCCAUCUAAAGCUAAAUACUGGCGAGAGACCGAUAGCGAACAAGUACCGUGAGGGAAAGAUGAAAAGGACUUUGGAAAGAGAGUUAAAGAGUACGUGAAAUUGCUGAAAGGGAAGCGCUUGGAGUGAGUCGCGCGGGCGGGAGUCAGCUCUGCGUACUUCCUGCCCGUGGGCCAGCAUCGACCUUGGACGGCGGAUAAGGGCGGUGGGAAUGUGGCAUCUCCGGAUGUGUUAUAGCCUGCUGUCGUACACGCCGACCGGGGUCGAGGACUGCUUAUAGGAUGCUGGCGUAAUGGCUCUAAGCGACCCGUCUUGAAAACACGGACCA
RNAcentral lists this ribosomal RNA (588 nucleotides) under Cerinomyces enterolaxus. Its description in RNAcentral is "partial 28S ribosomal RNA". It matches the Rfam family "Eukaryotic large subunit ribosomal RNA", at positions 38 to 668 of the family's 3401-position model. Lineage: Eukaryota; Fungi; Basidiomycota; Dacrymycetes; Dacrymycetales; Cerinomycetaceae. The record is from RNAcentral.